UACGUAGGCAGCGAGCGUUGUUCGGAGUUACUGGGCGUAAAGGGUGUGUAGGCGGUCCUCUAAGUUUGGUGUGAAAUCUCCCGGCUCAACCGGGAGGGUGCGCCGAAAACUGGGGGGCUAGAGUGCGGGAUGGGUAAGUGGAAUUCCUGGUGUAGCGGUGAAAUGCGUAGAUAUCAGGAGGAACACCUGUGGUGUAGACGGCUUACUGGACCGCAACUGACGCUGAGGAGCGAAAGCGUGGGGAGCGAACAGG
RNAcentral lists this ribosomal RNA (253 nucleotides) under uncultured bacterium. RNAcentral's name for it is "partial 16S ribosomal RNA". It matches the Rfam family "Bacterial small subunit ribosomal RNA", at positions 524 to 776 of the family's 1533-position model. The record is from RNAcentral.